This 30-nucleotide non-coding RNA is filed under the name Mus musculus (house mouse). The record is from RNAcentral. Lineage: Eukaryota; Metazoa; Chordata; Mammalia; Rodentia; Muridae.
UGCCAAGACAAGGAUAAAACCCCAUUUUUA